This 98-nucleotide signal recognition particle RNA is filed under the name Synechococcaceae cyanobacterium RM1_1_27. RNAcentral's name for it is "signal recognition particle sRNA small type". It matches the Rfam family "Bacterial small signal recognition particle RNA". Rfam says of the family: The signal recognition particle (SRP) is a universally conserved ribonucleoprotein involved in the co-translational targeting of proteins to membranes. Archaeal SRP consists of a 7S RNA and homologues of the eukaryotic SRP19 and SRP54 proteins. The record is from RNAcentral. Lineage: Bacteria; Bacillati; Cyanobacteriota; Cyanophyceae; Synechococcales; Synechococcaceae. RNAcentral also lists the same sequence under 1 other name.
GACCUAGGCCCGUGCGGCUUCAACGCCCAAACCGUGUCAGGAUCGGAAGGUAGCAGCACCACGGGAUGCUUUAGGUUGGCGCGGUCGCCUGGGUCGUC